RNAcentral lists this ribosomal RNA (1088 nucleotides) under Niallia circulans. RNAcentral's name for it is "bacterial SSU rRNA". It matches the Rfam family "Bacterial small subunit ribosomal RNA", at positions 30 to 1099 of the family's 1533-position model. Lineage: Bacteria; Bacillati; Bacillota; Bacilli; Caryophanales; Bacillaceae. The record is from RNAcentral.
CGAACGCUGGCGGCGUGCCUAAUACAUGCAAGUCGAGCGGACUUUAAAAGCUUGCUUUUAAAGUUAGCGGCGGACGGGUGAGUAACACGUGGGCAACCUGCCUGUAAGACUGGGAUAACUUCGGGAAACCGGAGCUAAUACCGGAUAAUCCUUUUCCUCUCAUGAGGAAAAGCUGAAAGACGGCAUCUCGCUGUCACUUACAGAUGGGCCCGCGGCGCAUUAGCUAGUUGGUGAGGUAACGGCUCACCAAGGCAACGAUGCGUAGCCGACCUGAGAGGGUGAUCGGCCACACUGGGACUGAGACACGGCCCAGACUCCUACGGGAGGCAGCAGUAGGGAAUCUUCCGCAAUGGACGAAAGUCUGACGGAGCAACGCCGCGUGAGUGAUGAAGGUUUUCGGAUCGUAAAGCUCUGUUGUUAGGGAAGAACAAGUACAAGAGUAACUGCUUGUACCUUGACGGUACCUAACCAGAAAGCCACGGCUAACUACGUGCCAGCAGCCGCGGUAAUACGUAGGUGGCAAGCGUUGUCCGGAAUUAUUGGGCGUAAAGCGCGCGCAGGCGGUCCUUUAAGUCUGAUGUGAAAGCCCACGGCUCAACCGUGGAGGGUCAUUGGAAACUGGGGGACUUGAGUGCAGAAGAGAAGAGUGGAAUUCCACGUGUAGCGGUGAAAUGCGUAGAGAUGUGGAGGAACACCAGUGGCGAAGGCGACUCUUUGGUCUGUAACUGACGCUGAGGCGCGAAAGCGUGGGGAGCAAACAGGAUUAGAUACCCUGGUAGUCCACGCCGUAAACGAUGAGUGCUAAGUGUUAGAGGGUUUCCGCCCUUUAGUGCUGCAGCAAACGCAUUAAGCACUCCGCCUGGGGAGUACGGCCGCAAGGCUGAAACUCAAAGGAAUUGACGGGGGCCCGCACAAGCGGUGGAGCAUGUGGUUUAUUUCGAAGCAACGCGAAGAACCUUACCAGGUCUUGACAUCCUCUGACACUCCUAGAGAUAGGACGUUCCCCUUCGGGGGACAGAGUGACAGGUGGUGCAUGGUUGUCGUCAGCUCGUGUCGUGAGAUGUUGGGUUAAGUCCCGCAACGAGCGC